Falco peregrinus (peregrine falcon) is the source of this 849-nucleotide long non-coding RNA. RefSeq lists it as uncharacterized. The transcript has 2 exons. Lineage: Eukaryota; Metazoa; Chordata; Aves; Falconiformes; Falconidae. The record is from RefSeq and is a predicted model, not a curated record.
AGCUCUGGCAGUUGACAGGGGCUGUACAUCACUUACUUUGAAAACUCUUCGUUUACCGGGGGGGUGUCGUGUUGUUUCAUUGUGUGACACUCCCAAUUAUCGUGACAGAGCUAAAUGACAAAGUACUGUCACCCCACAGAAAAUUCAGAGCAGCUUCUUUCCAUUUUUCUGCCUGGUCACGGGAACAUCGCUGAACUGGUACAAAGCAGCGGCAGGAGCAGCAAACAGGGGGACUGUCUGCACACUGCUCUAGUGUAUUAAAAAUUCAGCUCCUCGGCAAUAUGAAAUUUGAAUUUACUUCCAUCAAACAGAAACUUAGCAUAUCUCAUUCUUCCGUUAUAAAAUAUUGACAUCAGAAAUAGUGAAUCCUGAAAUGAAGAUUACAGAUGAAAACUAUGUGCUUGGACUCAGCUCCAGCCUUCCUGGCCCAUUAUGCAGCAUCCUCUGUGUAUGAGAAGUACAACUGUGAAACAAACGAACAAAAUUGCCAGAAAAAAGAAGAUGGCCUGAUCUACCCCAGCACAACGAACGCACAUGAAAAUCAAGCUCAGGAUACCUGCACCUUGUAAAAUUUCUUUCUCAGCUCUUCUGAAGAAGAAAUUCCUUUAGAGUCUUCCUCGGCUAGUCUGAAAUAUGCUUCUCUGCAUCAGGUUGUGAAUAGUAUUCUUACGAGAUUGUCUAGUAAAGAAAGGCUGUUUGGCUGGGCCUGCUGGGCAUCAGUUAAAAUAUUGAUUGUCCCACACCUUUUCACAAGCUUUUACUGGGCUCCUUCAGUGUCUCAUUUGGGUUUGGUGCUGUAUGUUCAGGAAGUGGCUGGUGACAACAAUAAAACCUGAUGUAUGACUGUGA